CCUACGGGCGGCAGCAGUGGGGAAUAUUGGGCAAUGGGCGCAAGCCUGACCCAGCAACGCCGCGUGAAGGAAGAAGGCUUUCGGGUUGUAAACUUCUUUUCUCAGGGACGAAGCAAGUGACGGUACCUGAGGAAUAAGCCACGGCUAACUACGUGCCAGCAGCCGCGGUAAUACGUGGGUGGGAAGCGUUAUCCGGAUUUACUGGGGGAAAAGGGCGUGUAGGCGGGAUGCCAAGUCAGCGGUAAAAUCGCGGGGCUCAACCUCGCUGCGCCGUUGAAACUGGCGUUCUUGAGUGGGCGAGAGGUAUGCGGAAUGCGUGGUGUAGCGGUGAAAUGCAUAGAUAUCACGAGGAACACCGAUUGCGAAGGCGACAUACCGGCGCCCAACUGACGCUGAAGCACGAAAGCGUGGGUAUCGAACAGGAUUAGAUACCCUGGUAGUC
RNAcentral lists this ribosomal RNA (442 nucleotides) under uncultured bacterium. Its description in RNAcentral is "partial 16S ribosomal RNA". It matches the Rfam family "Bacterial small subunit ribosomal RNA", at positions 338 to 795 of the family's 1533-position model. The record is from RNAcentral.